Molecule: non-coding RNA, 653 nt
Organism: Paramuricea clavata
Lineage: Eukaryota; Metazoa; Cnidaria; Anthozoa; Malacalcyonacea; Plexauridae
Source: the annotation of a GenBank genome assembly
CUGCCGGCCAUUUAGUAUUUGAUAAACCGUGACCGGCUGCCGGUCAUAUAGUCACUUCGAUUCAAAUACUUGGACUUGGUUCCUUGUUCGGAGAAUUGAUUUAAUGUGACGAAUUUACCUACCGAAAGUAUAGAGUACGUUGUAACAAUAAUGGUUAUGCUUUUGUUCACUUUAUUCUUCUCAAAUAGUGCCAUGUGUAAACGCUUCGUUUAUACCUCCAGUUACUUGGAGACCGGUUGGAUUCCGGCUUUACAGUCAACUCGGCCCACUAACCAACUCGGCCCACUAACCAACUCGGCCCACCGUUCAAGGACCAACUCUGCCCGCUUGUAAACUGACUAAUCUAACCACCAAACAAGCUAGGAGCCAUGACUGUGUUCUAUCUUUGGAAAUUUUGAGAGAGAUUUGAAUGGUCAGUAAUUUAGUAUCAAAACGGACAGAUCAAAAAUUUGAAACUUCGAUAGAUUCUUUAAUUAAAUUAAGUCAAACUGGAUGUUCUCAAACUUUACUCAUCUGUAUGCCUAAUGCAACUGCAAAUGGCUGUAUUGGUUUGGUGCUAUCUUUUGUGAAAUAUUAGCUUUCCUAAUAUGUCAAACAGUAGUUAACAAUUAGGCCAACAGUGGGCCGAGUUGACCAGCUUCCGGAUUCCGAAC